UUAUAGCCCCGAUUGCAGCGGCAUCCUUUUUUGUUAUUGCGAUUGCUGAGAAGUUCCAAAUAUUGCUUCACUUUGUUCGCAAUGACAAAAAAGAUACAGCGGAAAGCGGGAAAUAGC
This is a non-coding RNA of Chryseobacterium gambrini, 117 nucleotides long. Lineage: Bacteria; Pseudomonadati; Bacteroidota; Flavobacteriia; Flavobacteriales; Weeksellaceae. The record is from Rfam.